CGUACACUCCUGCGGGAGGCAGCAGUGGGGAAUAUUGCACAAUGGGCGCAAGCCUGAUGCAGCCAUGCCGCGUGUAUGAAGAAGGCCUUCGGGUUGUAAAGUACUUUCAGCGGGGAGGAAGGCAAUACGGUUAAUAACCGUGUUGAUUGACGUUACCCGCAGAAGAAGCACCGGCUAACUCCGUGCCAGCAGCCGCGGUAAUACGGAGGGUGCAAGCGUUAAUCGGAAUUACUGGGCGUAAAGCGCACGCAGGCGGUCUGUCAAGUCGGAUGUGAAAUCCCCGGGCUCAACCUGGGAACUGCAUUCGAAACUGGCAGGCUUGAGUCUUGUAGAGGGGGGUAGAAUUCCAGGUGUAGCGGUGAAAUGCGUAGAGAUCUGGAGGAAUACCGGUGGCGAAGGCGGCCCCCUGGACAAAGACUGACGCUCAGGUGCGAAAGCGUGGGGAGCAAACAGGAUUAGAUACCCUUGUAGUCCC
RNAcentral lists this ribosomal RNA (475 nucleotides) under uncultured organism. RNAcentral describes it as "partial 16S ribosomal RNA". It matches the Rfam family "Bacterial small subunit ribosomal RNA", at positions 330 to 797 of the family's 1533-position model. The record is from RNAcentral.